GGAAUUUUGCGCAAUGGGGGAAACCCUGACGCAGCAACGCCGCGUGGAGGAUGAAAUCCCUUGGGAUGUAAACUCCUUUCGAUCGGGACGAUUAUGACGGUACCGGAAGAAGAAGCCCCGGCUAACUUCGUGCCAGCAGCCGCGGUAAUACGAGGGGGGCAAGCGUUGUUCGGAAUUAUUGGGCGUAAAGGGCGCGUAGGCGGUUUGACAAGUCUGAUGUGAAAUCUCUGGGCUCAACCCAGAGUCUGCAUUAGAAACUGUCGGGCUUGAGUAUGGGAGAGGUGAGUGGAAUUUCCGGUGUAGCGGUGAAAUGCGUAGAUAUCGGAAGGAACACCUGUGGCGAAAGCGGCUCACUGGACCAUAACUGACGCUGAGGCGCGAAAGCUAGGGGAGCAAACA
Molecule: ribosomal RNA, 399 nt
Filed under: uncultured bacterium gp1
Lineage: Bacteria
Description: bacterial SSU rRNA
Rfam family: Bacterial small subunit ribosomal RNA
Source: RNAcentral